This 219-nucleotide non-coding RNA is filed under the name Bacillus sp. (in: firmicutes). RNAcentral describes it as "Bacillus sp. T-box sequence". It matches the Rfam family "T-box leader". From Rfam's summary of the family: Uncharged tRNA acts as the effector for transcription antitermination of genes in the T-box leader family. T-boxes are found upstream of many aminoacyl-tRNA synthetase genes and some amino acid biosynthetic genes usually in Gram-positive bacteria. The record is from RNAcentral. Lineage: Bacteria; Bacillati; Bacillota; Bacilli; Caryophanales; Bacillaceae.
GAUAAUGCGAUGAUAGGAAGUAGUAACAAGCACGUUUUUUUAUAGAGAGUUAGCGGUUGGUGCAAGCUAAUAAAAACACUUGUGAAUCCGUCCUUGAGUUGUCUUGCUGAAAAUGAUAGUAGGCAAAGACCGGUGACUAAAGCCGUUAUGAACGAAGUGGAAUAAGCAGUAUUUGUUUAUUCAAUUAGGGUGGCAACGCGGGUAGCUCUCGUCCCUUUU